AUACCGAGGGUGCAAGCGUUAUUCGGAAUUACUGGGCGUAAAGGGCGCGCAGGCGGCUCUUUAAGUCAGGCGUGAAAGCCCGAGGCUAAACUUCGGAAGUGCGUCUGAAACUAAGGGGCUUGAGUACGGGAGAGGGAAGUGGAAUUCCUGGUGUAGAGGUGAAAUUCGUAGAUAUCAGGAGGAACACCGGUGGCGAAGGCGACUUCCUGGACCGAUACUGACGCUGAGGCGCGAAAGCGUGGGGAGCAAACAGGAUUAGAUACCCGUGUAGUCC
Molecule: ribosomal RNA, 274 nt
Filed under: uncultured bacterium
Lineage: Bacteria
Description: partial 16S ribosomal RNA
Rfam family: Bacterial small subunit ribosomal RNA
Source: RNAcentral